UCUGUUUGAAUGCUGCCACAUUAGCUGCCACUGGAACUGUAAAUUACCUGCACAACAGCUCCCCCAGUGGCCACACCCAGAAGGAUUUUAGAAGCAAUUCACAUUUGUGACUGAUGUAGAACUCCUGCAGAGGAAUGAACAGACAGAAGAGAUGAAACAGCUCUCUAUACCCUCCUCUAAUUGCAAUAAAUUCUCCAGUGGUUUCUUCUGGUUGUAUUCCAAGACAUCUUUUGAACUGGAGAUUCUGGAAUUCCCAUGCCUGCAAAGCAUGUGUCACUGAAUCUCAUCUAACCCAUCCAGUGUCACGUAAGGAAAUGGAUGACCUUGCUAUAAUUACAUCUCUAAGAGUAGCCCUUAACACUCUCCACAUAGAAGCAAACAGAAGCCAUUUUCACUAUACAGCUCCUUUGAAGUUGGGAUUAAGAACAGAUUCACUAUGCCUGCUGACAUAGAAGUUACAAGACAGUACUGUUUAUAGCAGGCUCUAUGAAGAGGCUCCAUAGUGGCUAGGUCUGUUGACCUCAUACAUCCUACAAUGGAUAAAGACAAAAGAAAACAUGGCAGAGGCUGAGGCAGAUGCUCCAAGUAUCCUCCUUGCCUUUCUCUUCCCCUCCAAGACAGAAAGGCAGGAAGCAGAAGAAGCGGGGGAGAUCAGGGCCUCCAAGUUUCACAACCCACUUGAGCAACUCUUGCAUCCCUUUCAGGGGUUCCACUCAACCAUUUGAGAACCACAGCUGUAGAACAUUGUAUCAUUCCUACACUUAAGUAUUGCAAGGAAUAAAUGUUCUUUAAUGCCUUCAUGACAAUUAAUAUAUCUGCUAAAGGAUUUCAUUAGGUUGUGCAGAUAAAAUAUUGGGAUUAAUUAUAUGUUUGUUGCUUUUUAAGUACAGUCUCAUAAAAAAGGUUGUUAUUCAGCUUAUAAGCACUGAUAAAUGCUUGUUGAUUAACGGAG
Sceloporus undulatus (fence lizard) is the source of this 952-nucleotide long non-coding RNA. RefSeq lists it as uncharacterized. The record is from RefSeq and is a predicted model, not a curated record. The transcript is spliced from 6 exons. Lineage: Eukaryota; Metazoa; Chordata; Lepidosauria; Squamata; Phrynosomatidae.